This 433-nucleotide ribosomal RNA is filed under the name uncultured bacterium. RNAcentral's name for it is "partial 16S ribosomal RNA". It matches the Rfam family "Bacterial small subunit ribosomal RNA", at positions 29 to 507 of the family's 1533-position model. The record is from RNAcentral.
AGCGAACGCUGGCGGCAGGCUUAACACAUGCAAGUCGAGCGGGCCCUUCGGGGUCAGCGGCAGACGGGUGAGUAACACGUGGGAACGUACCCUUUGGUUCGGAAUAACGCUGGGAAACUAGCGCUAAUACCGGAUACGCCCUUUUGGGGAAAGGCUUGCUGCUGAAGGAUCGGCCCGCGUCUGAUUAGCUAGUUGGUGGGGUAAUGGCCUACCAAGGCGACGAUCAGUAGCUGGUCUGAGAGGAUGAUCAGCCACACUGGGACUGAGACACGGCCCAGACUCCUACGGGAGGCAGCAGUGGGGAAUAUUGGACAAUGGGCGCAAGCCUGAUCCAGCCAUGCCGCGUGAGUGAUGAAGGCCUUAGGGUUGUAAAGCUCUUUUGUCCGGGACGAUAAUGACGGUACCGGAAGAAUAAGCCCGGGCUAACUUCGUG